CUGGCAGAGAGGUUGGUGCUGUGGUUCCUGGAGACGGCUGAUAGCUGCACACGCUCACACCCACCCUGUCUGCACUGGUGUCUCCAGAUACCGUCUCUUUGAAGAGCCAGGAGACCUUUGGACUCAAGACGCGUCCUUUAUGUAGCUUCAUCACUAAUAAUGCAGCCGAGACCAGCAGACUUAGGCUUGCAGCCACCCUGGAUCCUGGUGAAGAACUCUUAGCUGGAAACUGCUUUUCCUUUCCAGAUGUGGGUCUUCAGUAAAGUGUCCCGAACCAAUUUUAGACAACUUUUCUAACAUUCAUCUUGGAUCCUUGAAUCUGUUUGAAAGUUGUUAUGUCUGUUUUUUUGGGGUAAAUGAAUGGUUUUAAGUUCCUUUUAAAGAAACAGUAGAGAAAAUAAAGGUGCACG
This 410-nucleotide long non-coding RNA is filed under the name Cricetulus griseus (Chinese hamster). RNAcentral describes it as "lncRNA (ENSCGRG00015032658.1)". The record is from RNAcentral. Lineage: Eukaryota; Metazoa; Chordata; Mammalia; Rodentia; Cricetidae.